CCACAGAUUUGCAAGACAUGAAACCAGCACUGCCGUCUUUUCCUUCCACUUAUUAUUUUGCAUCCCGCCUUUGAUGGGUUUCCUUAUAUUCCUGUUCCACACUUUCAAGUACAUGAUUGAAUCAUCUAGUCAGGCAUAUAUUCAAUGGAUGAAAGUGGUGAUGGAGAAUCGGAGGGAUAAAGAGCCUCAACCCUUGGCUUUCUGAAGCUGCUGCCUGCAACUUCAAUUCAU
Poeciliopsis prolifica (blackstripe livebearer) is the source of this 231-nucleotide long non-coding RNA. RefSeq lists it as uncharacterized. The transcript has 3 exons. NCBI's taxonomy places the organism in Eukaryota, Metazoa, Chordata, Actinopteri, Cyprinodontiformes, Poeciliidae. The record is from RefSeq and is a predicted model, not a curated record.